AUACUUAGCUAGCAGGGAAGGUACCAUGAUCACAAAGGUGGUUUUCCCAGAGCCAGGCUUAUUUAUUGAACUCUGGAUAUAGUGACCUCUAUUAUUUCCCCAAAUGUGGGAAACUCAGUUACAUAAUUUGUGGUAGUGGGGGACUGCAUUGGAGUUCUCUGCUA
Molecule: small nuclear RNA, 164 nt
Organism: Phodopus roborovskii (desert hamster)
Lineage: Eukaryota; Metazoa; Chordata; Mammalia; Rodentia; Cricetidae
Product: U1 spliceosomal RNA
Exons: 1
Source: RefSeq, a predicted model, not a curated record